AUUUCGCCAUGUGUUUUGAUUUUUUUAUUUCGUUCGACAUUGUACACUUCAUUGGUUCAAUCGGUGCGGCUCGGGCUCACUCCCUUUCCUGACUUAUUUCGCCAAAAAAAAAUGGCAACAGCCUACAUUUUAUGCUUGACAAAUCCAUCUGAUAAAUAACGUGGCCUGCUGUACAUUUUCCUAAAAUGUCUUGCUGCACGUGCCGGCUGUACGUGUAGCACAUGCAGAAAUACUUACUAACUGUGAAGGUGAUAAUGUUGGUCAACUUGUUAACCUCUGAGCUACUUUGAUGGAGUCCAUUGUGCACAUUGAUUUGUUGCAGCCAGAUGGUGAAAGGUGUUCCUCUGCAGUCUUGCCACCUGUUUCAGUUGUAGCUUUCCUCACAUGCAGAAACACUUGAGAUCAAUCUAAAACAGUGGCUGGAAAUGUGUUUCAUAUUUACAUAGAAAAAUGAUGAGAAAUUUCCAGCCAUCUGACCUAGCUGAAUUGGAAUGGAAGUGAAGAAUUCUAAAGGGACAUGUUGAAUAACUUGCCUAUCUCCACAUGGUGGCUGCCAUGUCAUGAAGAUAUGUCUUUGAAGGGGUUUCUACUACUUUGCAUGACAGAAAUGUGACAAAAACAGGAAAUCUGUAAUGGUAAUAUCUUGUAAAAUGAAUCAAGUAGGGUUUCAUUUUGCUCUUGAUGUCGAAGACAAGUGAUAUCCUAUUUCAUGCUUCCAAACAAAGACAUCAUUCAUGGAAGUUCUAUGUUAUUAUGUAAAUUUGUUUUGACCUAAGUAACAGCACGGAAAUUCCCUUUAUACUUAAAAACUUGAACGAAAUCUUCAUGAUGAGGCGACCUUUGCUCAUCUUCCUAAUUUCUUUUUCUGUGUUCUGUUAUGGAUUAUUUAAAGGGGAGUUUGUUGUAUGCAAGAUGGGCAGAUUCUGAAAGAAGAUUUGUUUAUUUGUUCCACUGUAAAGUAUUCGUUAAAGUUUAAAUGAAUUUGUAUUUAAAUCUUAAAUGAGUGCAUCUGGUUUCAUGUAAAUUUAUUAAUUUAAGUUUCCACGAUAGGUAUAAGAUAAUGUUGCCAUAUAAUAUUUGGGUUGAAUAUUAGAAGUG
This 1098-nucleotide long non-coding RNA is filed under the name Daphnia pulicaria. Its description in RNAcentral is "uncharacterized LOC124350853, transcript variant X3". The record is from RNAcentral. Lineage: Eukaryota; Metazoa; Arthropoda; Branchiopoda; Diplostraca; Daphniidae.